UGGUCAGGGCUAGCAUCCCCGCGCCCCGGCCGAACCGAGACGCCAAGGAUGACCGCGCAACCGAUGGUGGUGUUUUGUAUUCAACGUCUCCUAAUCGCUGGUCGGCAUCGUUUAUGGUUAAGACUACGACGGUAUCUGAUCGUCUUCGAUCCCCUAACUUUCGUUCUUGAUUAAUGAAAACAUCCUUGGCAGAUGCUUUCGCAGAAGUUAAUCUUUCAUAAAUCCAAGAAUUUCACCUCUGACAAUUAAAUAUUAAUGCCCCCAACUAUCCCUAUUAAUCAUUACCCUAGUCCUCGCGCUGCCAAAACCAACUGAAAAUAGGAGGACAGGGUCCUAUUCCAUUAUCCCAUGCUAAUGUAUUCGGUGGCAGAAAAUUGGAUCUGCCUGCUUUGAACACUCUAAUUUUUUCACGGUAAACAUUCUGGGCCA
This 429-nucleotide ribosomal RNA is filed under the name Acanthamoeba genotype T4. Its description in RNAcentral is "partial 18S ribosomal RNA". Lineage: Eukaryota; Discosea; Longamoebia; Acanthamoebidae. The record is from RNAcentral.